RNAcentral lists this ribosomal RNA (301 nucleotides) under uncultured bacterium. RNAcentral's name for it is "partial 16S ribosomal RNA". It matches the Rfam family "Bacterial small subunit ribosomal RNA", at positions 509 to 807 of the family's 1533-position model. The record is from RNAcentral.
CAGUAGCCGCGGUAAUACGAAGGGGGCUAGCGUUGCUCGGAAUCACUGGGCGUAAAGCGUGCGUAGGUGGUGGUUUAAGUCCGUUGUGAAAGCCCUGGGCUCAACCUGGGAAUUGCAGUGGAUACUGGGUCACUAGAGUGUGGUAGAGGAUAGUGGAAUUUCCGGUGUAGCAGUGAAAUGCGUAGAGAUCGGAAGGAACAUCUGUGGCGAAGGCGACUAUCUGGGCCAACACUGACACUGAGGCACGAAAGCGUGGGGAGCAAACAGGAUUAGAUACCCCUGUAGUCCCUGUCUCUUAUAC